AGAGUUUGAUCCUGGCUCAGAUUGAACGCUGGCGGCAUGCUUUACACAUGCAAGUCGGACGGCAGCACAGAGAAGCUUGCUUCUUGGGUGGCGAGUGGCGAACGGGUGAGUAAUAUAUCGGAACGUACCGAGUAAUGGGGGAUAACUAAUCGAAAGAUUAGCUAAUACCGCAUAUUCUCUGAGGAGGAAAGCAGGGGACCUUCGGGCCUUGCGUUAUUCGAGCGGCCGAUAUCUGAUUAGCUAGUUGGUGGGGUAAAGGCCUACCAAGGCGACGAUCAGUAGCGGGUCUGAGAGGAUGAUCCGCCACACUGGGACUGAGACACGGCCCAGACUCCUACGGGAGGCAGCAGUGGGGAAUUUUGGACAAUGGGCGCAAGCCUGAUCCAGCCAUGCCGCGUGUCUGAAGAAGGCCUUCGGGUUGUAAAGGACUUUUGUCAGGGAAGAAAAGGCUGUUGCUAAUAUCGACAGCUGAUGACGGUACCUGAAGAAUNAGCCCCGGCUNNCUNCGUGCCNGCAGCCGCGGUNNUNCGUNGGGUGCGNGCGUUNUUCGGNNUUNCUGGGCGUNNNGCGNGCGCCGNCGGUUNCUUNNGCCGGNUGUGNNUUCCCCGGGCUCCNCCUGGGNNCUGCGUUCUGNNCUGGGUGNCUNGNGUGUGUCNGNGGGNGGUNGANUUCCNCGUGUNGCCGUGNNNUGCGUNGNGNUGUGGNGGNNUNCCGNUGGCGCUGGCNGCCUCCUGGGNUNNCCCUGNCGUUCNUGCUCGNNAGCGUGGGUCGCCCACAAGGUUUGCUNCCCUGGUNGUCCNCNCCCUNNNCCCCCCUAAGGGCUGUUGGGCAACUAGAUUGUUUUAAUAGCGUAGCUAACGCGUGAAAUGGUCCGCCUGGGGAGUACGGUCGCAAGAUUAAAAUUCAAAGGAAAUUGACGGGGACCCGCACAAGCGGUGGAUGAUGUGGAUUAAUUCGAUGCAACGCGAAGAACCUUACCUGGUCUUGACAUGUACGGAAUCCUCCAGAGACGGAGGAGUGCCUUCGGGAGCCGUAACACAGGUGCUGCAUGGCUGUCGUCAGCUCGUGUCGUGAGAUGUUGGGUUAAGUCCCGCAACGAGCGCAACCCUUGUCAUUAGUUGCCAUCAUUAAGUUGGGCACUCUAAUGAGACUGCCGGUGACAAGCCGGAGGAAGGUGGGGAUGACGUCAAGUCCUCAUGGCCCUUAUGACCAGGGCUUCACACGUCAUACAAUGGUCGGUACAGAGGGUAGCCAAGCCGCGAGGUGGAGCCAAUCUCACAAAACCGAUCGUAGUCCGGAUUGCACUCUGCAACUCGAGUGCAUGAAGUCGGAAUCGCUAGUAAUCGCAGGUCAGCAUACUGCGGUGAAUACGUUCCCGGGUCUUGCACACACCGCCCGUCA
RNAcentral lists this ribosomal RNA (1401 nucleotides) under uncultured bacterium. RNAcentral describes it as "partial 16S ribosomal RNA". It matches the Rfam family "Bacterial small subunit ribosomal RNA". The record is from RNAcentral.